CCUACGGGAGGCAGCAGUGAGGAAUAUUGGUCAAUGGGCGCGAGCCUGAACCAGCCAAGUAGCGUGAAGGAUGACUGCCCUACGGGUUGUAAACUUCUUUUAUAAGGGAAUAAAGUGAGGCACGUGUGCCUUUUUGUAUGUCCUUUAUGAAUAAAGAUCGGCUAACUCCGUGCCAGCAGCCGCGGUAAUACGGAGGUUCCGAGCGUUAUCCGGAGUUAGUGGGUUGAAAGGGAGCGUAGAUGGGUUGUUAAGUCAGUUGUGAAAGUUUGCGGCUCAACCGUAAAAUUGCAAUUGAUACUGGCAGUCUUGAGUACAGUUGAGGUAGGCGGAAUUCGUGGUGUAGCGGUGAAAUGCUUAGAUAUUACGAAGAACUCCGAUUGCGAAGGCAGCUUACUAAACUGCCACUGACAUUGAUGCUCGAAAGUGUGGGUAUCAAACAGGAUUAGAUACCCCAGUAGUC
Molecule: ribosomal RNA, 460 nt
Filed under: uncultured bacterium
Lineage: Bacteria
Description: partial 16S ribosomal RNA
Rfam family: Bacterial small subunit ribosomal RNA
Source: RNAcentral